This 72-nucleotide transfer RNA is filed under the name Camelus bactrianus (Bactrian camel). It matches the Rfam family "tRNA". From Rfam's summary of the family: Transfer RNA (tRNA) molecules are approximately 80 nucleotides in length. RNAcentral also lists the same sequence under 3 other names. Lineage: Eukaryota; Metazoa; Chordata; Mammalia; Artiodactyla; Camelidae. The record is from Rfam by way of RNAcentral.
GAGGGUAUAGCUUGGUGGCAGAGUGCGUGCUUAGCAUGCACGUGGUCCUGGGUUCAAUCCCCAGUACCUCUG